RNAcentral lists this ribosomal RNA (512 nucleotides) under bacterium enrichment culture clone ALO1_GLFRUDD03F67TM. Its description in RNAcentral is "bacterial SSU rRNA". It matches the Rfam family "Bacterial small subunit ribosomal RNA", at positions 9 to 514 of the family's 1533-position model. The record is from RNAcentral.
GAGUUUGAUCAUGGCUCAGAUUGAACGCUGGCGGCAGGCCUAACACAUGCAAGUCGAGCGGAUGACGGGAGCUUGCUCCUUGAUUCAGCGGCGGACGGGUGAGUAAUGCCUAGGAAUCUGCCUGGUAGUGGGGGACAACGUUUCGAAAGGAACGCUAAUACCGCAUACGUCCUACGGGAGAAAGCAGGGGACCUUCGGGCCUUGCGCUAUCAGAUGAGCCUAGGUCGGAUUAGCUAGUUGGUGGGGUAAUGGCUCACCAAGGCGACGAUCCGUAACUGGUCUGAGAGGAUGAUCAGUCACACUGGAACUGAGACACGGUCCAGACUCCUACGGGAGGCAGCAGUGGGGAAUAUUGGACAAUGGGCGAAAGCCUGAUCCAGCCAUGCCGCGUGUGUGAAGAAGGUCUUCGGAUUGUAAAGCACUUUAAGUUGGGAGGAAGGGCAGUAAGUUAAUACCUUGCUGUUUUGACGUUUACCGACAGAAUAAAGCACCGGCUAACUCUGUGCCAGCCG